GGUUGGUCCAAGUGCAGUGGUAUUUACAACUAAUUGAUCACAACCAGUUACAGAUUCCUUUGUUCCUUCUCCACUCCCACUGCUUCACUUCACCAGCCUUAA
RNAcentral lists this Y RNA (102 nucleotides) under Propithecus coquereli (Coquerel's sifaka). RNAcentral describes it as "Y RNA (ENSPCOG00000007959.1)". It matches the Rfam family "Y RNA". From Rfam's summary of the family: Y RNAs are components of the Ro ribonucleoprotein particle (Ro RNP), in association with Ro60 and La proteins. The Y RNAs and Ro60 and La proteins are well conserved, but the function of the Ro RNP is not known. In humans the RNA component can be one of four small RNAs -- hY1, hY3, hY4 and hY5. Lineage: Eukaryota; Metazoa; Chordata; Mammalia; Primates; Indriidae. The record is from Rfam by way of RNAcentral.